AUCUUCAACAUUCCACACAAAAUGUCUUCUCGUAAAAAAAACUAUGCAAAUGAUGAAGACAUUCUUUUAUGUCAAAUUUAUAUGCGGAUUUUACAAGACCCAACUAUAGGGACUUAUGAAUCAUCAAAUCAACAAUGGAAUCGUGUGGAAGAUGCAUUCAUCAAAGAUAAAGACCCGACUUGGCCACAACGUACGCAAAGAUCUAUGCAGGCUCGUAUUCAAACCAUCGAGAAAGCAACAAAGAAAUUCCGUGAAUGUCUCAAGCAGCUGAAGCAAGAAAUCAAAGUGGAGCUUCACGUCACAAUUCGUCACCAUCAUCGGCUUCCCGCGGCGGAGAUCGUCGUUCAUUGAAUUCCAGCAAGGGAGAUCAUUGCCGGCGAAAUUGAAGAUGCCGGAUUUUGAUGUUGUCCGGUUUAAAUUGCUAAAAUGCAAGUUUGAGUGGGGAUGAGAGGUAGAGAGAGAAAGGGUGUUUGGCGUGAGGAAUUUGGAGUGGCAGUAUUUUUAUGAUUUUUUAAAUAAUAUCCACGUGUCAAUUUAUUGUUGGUGUAUUAUGUGAUGUUUUAUAAAAUGUUGGAGGUGAUCCCCUCCGGCGGACAAGUCCCUGGUGAUUCAUCUUCAUCAAAACCCAAAAGAGUAAAGAAAGCAAAACUAAAGACAAAAAUACUCGAAGAUACGACAUCCUUGAUCAUGGCUCUAGAAAAGCAAAAUGAGCUUCUAAAGGAUGGCAUGGAAAAUGCAAACUCGCAAAUGGCUCUAUUCCUGGAAAAUCAAAAGGGGAGCAUCAAACUCAAGCAAAUGAAGGAAGAAAAUAAAAUAUUAUCUAUGAAUUUAAGCUCCAUAAACUAUCCCCAAAGUCGUGCAUUUUUUCAAGCCGAAAAAAAAUGCAUUUUACGAGAAAAAGCUCAACAAGAAGAUCAACCAAAUGACGAUGCACUUAGAACAUAUUCUUUUGACUUCAAUGAUAUUGGAGGAUCUGGUUCAGAUUAACCGGAUUAUUAGAUUAGGUUUUUAUUAAUUAUUGUAGUUUUAUUUUUUGUAUUUGAAAUGUGUUUUUUAAUAAUAUGC
Salvia splendens (bonfire salvia) is the source of this 1065-nucleotide RNA transcript. RefSeq lists it as uncharacterized. NCBI's taxonomy places the organism in Eukaryota, Viridiplantae, Streptophyta, Magnoliopsida, Lamiales, Lamiaceae. The record is from RefSeq and is a predicted model, not a curated record. The transcript is spliced from 2 exons.